Molecule: non-coding RNA, 920 nt
Organism: Tachysurus vachellii
Lineage: Eukaryota; Metazoa; Chordata; Actinopteri; Siluriformes; Bagridae
Source: the annotation of a RefSeq genome assembly
CAUCAGUACAGUGAUACACUCAUGGUACAAAAACCUGUUACACUACAGUGACCACACACACACACACACACACACACACACACACACACACACACACACACACACACACACACACACACACACACACACACACGUUUCCAUAGCGAGAGGUUCCACUUUGCAUUAUCAGCUCAUGCUUCAGUGCCCUGUGAGUGUUUAUAGCCCUGUGACUUUAACACUUCAUGACUGAGAGCUGCUGCUCAGCGACUUCACACACAGAAACCAUGAGUUUGAUCAGCGUCUUCAUCUGCACACUGCUCCUCUGUGCUCAAGGAUCCCAAAGUCAGGCCAUUGUGACUCAGAGUCCUGCAGUGAAAUCUGUUUCUCCAGGAGACACAAUCACCAUCAGCUGUAAAACCAAUGUUGCUGUUGAUAAUGACUGUGGUGGUAAAUAUGACUGUUUGUACUGGUUUCAGCAGAAACAUGGAGAAGCUCCUAAAAACCUGAUCUAUAGGGCUAGUACUAGAGCAUCAGGUAUUCCAGAUCGAUUCAGUGGCAGUGGAUCUGGAACUGAUUUCACUCUGACCAUCAGUGGAGUUCAGACUGAAGAUACUGGAGAUUAUUACUGUCUAACUGAUCAUUACAACACAUUCAAAACUUCUACGUUCACACAGUGUUAGAGCGUCGUACAAAAACCUCAGUGAGUGAGACUGCUGCAGCUGCAGGUGCUGAGGAGGACGAUGUGAUGCAGCACAAUGACACGGUUUAACAAACACAAUACACUUACUCAGUAGUCAAGUCCAGCUUUCUCACCUCUGAGGUUCAUUUACAUAUUUGACAGAGCUGCCAUGAGGCCAAAACCCUGAUCAGAGGUCAGUAGUUGGUCAUUUACCACUUUAACCAGUGUGGUGUUAGAGUGUGGUGAGGAAUAAAUCAGAAGA